UACAGGGGGUGCAAACGUUGCUCGGAAUCAUUGGGCGUAAAGCGCACGUAGGCGGUCUGUCAUGUCGGAUGUGAAAGCCCUUGGCUCAACUGAGGAAGUGCAUCCGAAACUGGCAGGCUAGAGUACUAAAGAGGGUCGCGGAAUUCCCGGUGUAGAGGUGAAAUUCGUAGAUAUCGGGAGGAACACCGGUGGCGAAGGCGGCGACCUGGGUAGAUACUGACGCUGAGGUGCGAAAGCGUGGGGAGCAAACAGG
RNAcentral lists this ribosomal RNA (253 nucleotides) under uncultured bacterium. RNAcentral's name for it is "partial 16S ribosomal RNA". It matches the Rfam family "Bacterial small subunit ribosomal RNA", at positions 524 to 776 of the family's 1533-position model. The record is from RNAcentral.